This 578-nucleotide ribosomal RNA is filed under the name Hypocreales sp. MU-c18_50no.16. Its description in RNAcentral is "eukaryotic LSU rRNA". The stretch from base 332 to 578 matches the Rfam family "Eukaryotic large subunit ribosomal RNA", at positions 1 to 252 of the family's 3401-position model. The record is from RNAcentral. Lineage: Eukaryota; Fungi; Ascomycota; Sordariomycetes; Hypocreales.
GGCUUGGUCCAAACAUAAUGAAUUAAACUUUCAGCAACGGAUUUUGGCUCUGGCAUCGAUGAAGAACGCAGCGAAAUGCGAUAAGUAAUGUGAAUUGCAGAAUUCAGUGAAUCAUCGAAUCUUUGAACGCACAUUGCGCCCUCCAGUAUUCUGGUGGGCAUGCCUGUCCGAGCGUCAUUUCAACCCUCAGGCCCGGCCUGGUGUUGGGGAUUGGCCCUUCGCGGCCAGCCCCGAAAUGCAGUGGCGGCCCUCCGCAACUCCUCUGUGCAGUAGUGAUACCCGCAUUGGAUAGUGGUUGCGCCUCGCCGUAAAACCUCCAACUUCUCAAGGUUGACCUCGGAUCAGGUAGGAAUACCCGCUGAACUUAAGCAUAUCAAUAAGCGGAGGAAAAGAAACCAACAGGGAUUGCCUCAGUAACGGCGAGUGAAGCGGCAACAGCUCAAAUUUGAAAUCUGGCCCUCGGGUCCGAAUUGUAAUUUGUAGAGGAUGUUUCUGGCGACGUGUCUUCCGAGUUCCCUGGAACGGGACGCCAUAGAGGGUGAGAGCCCCGUCCGGUCGUACGCCUAGCCUCUGGAAAC